Camellia sinensis is the source of this 745-nucleotide non-coding RNA. The record is from RefSeq and is a predicted model, not a curated record. NCBI's taxonomy places the organism in Eukaryota, Viridiplantae, Streptophyta, Magnoliopsida, Ericales, Theaceae.
AAUAGUGAACAAACCUUAAUCUGAGAGAGAGAAGAUAGAGGGUUUGAAGAGAGACUGGGGUUGAAGGGGAAGGGUUUCAGUCAACGACGAGACUAGUUCAGCAGCAGCGAGACGGUACGCUUCUUUUGACUCUUCUUUCGACUCUCUCAUUCCAGUCGGUUCCUCUAACGACUGGGUUGAAAUGGUUCCUCUAUAUCUCUAUGUGACUGUGUAUCCUUGGAACAACAAUGAUGUAGUUUUAUAAUCCGAACAGAUCUUAAACCCUAUCAAGCUUUUGACUUGAUACAUUGUUCAAGAUGUAGAAUUAAUUGGACUCGUGAUGAUGGAAUUUUGCUGCUCGAGGUCAACAGGAUGCUACGUGCAAGAGGAUACUUUGCUUGGGCAGCACAGCCUGUUUAUAAGCAUGAAUUAGCCCUUGAAGAGCAGUGGUAAGAGAUGAUUAAUCUUACAAGCCACCUUUGUUGGAAUCUUGUGAAGGAGGGGUAUAUUGCAAUUUGGCAGAAGCCCUUGAACAACAGUUGCUACUUAAGUCGUGAGGCAGGAACGCGACCUCCGCUGUGUGAUUCAGAUGAUGAUCCAGACAAUGUUUGGUAUAUUAACUAUCCUCUUUCUGGUAUAUUUUGGUGAUUCAAAUAGUACAUUAAACUGCCUUGAAUGGUUAAAGUUUUAGAUCUCUAUUUGACAACUGCUAUGUCCGUAAGGCUUCUGAAGCAUAUUCAGUAGUAUGACAUGUUAACUUCAUGCA